GAUGAACGCUGGCGGCGUGCUUAACACAUGCAAGUCGAACGAAGCAUUUACGACAGAUUUCUUCGGAUUGAAGUUGUUUAUGACUGAGUGGCGGACGGGUGAGUAACGCGUGGGUAACCUGCCUUGUACUGGGGGAUAGCAGCUGGAAACGGCUGGUAAUACCGCAUAAGCGCACGGUGCUGCAUGGCACAGUGUGAAAAACUCCGGUGGUAUAAGAUGGACCCGCGUCUGAUUAGCUAGUUGGUGAGAUAACAGCCCACCAAGGCGACGAUCAGAACCCGACCGGAGAGGUUGACCGGCCACAUUGGGACUUAGACACGGCCCAGACUCCGACGGGAGGCAGCAGUGGGGAAUAUUGCACAAUGGAGGAAACUCUGAUGCAGCGACGCCGCGUGAGUGAAGAAGUAAUUCGUUAUGUAAAGCUCUAUCAGCAGGGAAGAUAGUGACGGUACCUGACUAAGAAGCUCCGGCUAAAUACGUGCCAGCAGCCGCAGUAA
This 497-nucleotide ribosomal RNA is filed under the name uncultured bacterium. RNAcentral's name for it is "partial 16S ribosomal RNA". It matches the Rfam family "Bacterial small subunit ribosomal RNA", at positions 28 to 523 of the family's 1533-position model. The record is from RNAcentral.